Molecule: ribosomal RNA, 301 nt
Filed under: uncultured bacterium
Lineage: Bacteria
Description: partial 16S ribosomal RNA
Rfam family: Bacterial small subunit ribosomal RNA
Source: RNAcentral
CAGCAGCCACGGGAAUACGGAGGGUGCAAGCGUUAAUCGGAAUUACUGGGCGUAAAGCGCACGCAGGCGGUCUGACAAGUCAGAUGUGAAAUCCCCGGGCUUAACCUGGGAACUGCAUUUGAAACUGUCAGGCUGGAGUCUUGUAGAGGGGGGUGGAAUUCCAGGUGUAGCGGUGAAAUGCGUAGAGAUCUGGAGGAAUACCGGUGGCGAAGGCGGCCCCCUGGACAAAGACUGACGCUCAGGUGCAAAAGCGUGGGGAGCAAACAGGAUUAGAUACCCCGGUAGUCCCUGUCUCUUAUAC